AUCCCAGGGCUACACACGUGUUACAAUGGUCGGUACAGAGGGCAGCUACCAGGCAACUGGAUGCGAAUCUCAAAAACCGGUCUCAGUUCGGAUUGGAGUCCUGCAACCCGACUCCAUGAAGCUGGAUUCGCUUAGUAAUCGCGCAUCAGCCAUGGCGCGGUGAAUACGUUCCCGGGCCUU
Molecule: ribosomal RNA, 180 nt
Filed under: uncultured Sphingobacteriales bacterium
Lineage: Bacteria; Pseudomonadati; Bacteroidota; Sphingobacteriia; Sphingobacteriales
Description: partial 16S ribosomal RNA
Rfam family: Bacterial small subunit ribosomal RNA
Source: RNAcentral